Molecule: long non-coding RNA, 1332 nt
Organism: Erinaceus europaeus (western European hedgehog)
Lineage: Eukaryota; Metazoa; Chordata; Mammalia; Eulipotyphla; Erinaceidae
Exons: 3
Source: RefSeq, a predicted model, not a curated record
UCCUUGUACUUCAUUUUGCAGCCAGCAGAUACUAAAACUUCAUGGUCUCCAUAACAGUGUAAGCAAAGUCCUCACCCACAUCUAUGUGCAACUGAUUUUUGACAAGGGAGCCCAAAACAUCAUAUGCAGAAAGGAUGGUCUUGUCAACAAAUUGUACCAGGAAUUAGGCUGAAACAUGAGGAAGAAAACAGGAUUACAUGUCACCCUGCCUCAAAGUCAUCCCCUAAUUGAUCAAAGGUAUAGAUAUUGAGCCAGAAACCAUCAAAUACAUAGAAAAAAAAUUGGCAGAACACUCCAGGAUGUUCCCUUCAGAAAUGUCUUUGUAGACUCUAGUCUCAAUAGCAAGGAAAACAAAAAACAAAAAAAAAUAAAUGUCUUCAUAAAACUGAAAAUCUGUGCAGAAGAGUAAACCAUAACCAAAACAGAAAGACACCCUGAGAAUGGAAGAUCUUUAUAUACCAAACAUCAGAUAAAGGACUAACAACUAAAAUACAUAAAGAAUACACUAAUCUCAGCAACAAGAAGCAAACAACCCCAGUAAAAAAAAUGGAUAAAGGACAUGGGCAGAACUUUCACCAAAGAACAUAUUCAGAUGGCAAACAGACAUGAAAAAUACUCAAAAUCACCUAUUAUCAGGGAAAUACAAGACAACAAUGAAAUGCUACUUUACACCUUGGAGAAUGGCAUAUCAUAGAAAGGGCAAAAACAAUAAUAUUGGAUGAAGACACUGAAAAAAAAAAAGAAACCCGUACAGACUGUUAGUGGGAAUGUGUAUUGGUCCAAUUUCUGUGGAAAACAGUUUGAAGAUUCCUCAGAACACUAGAAAUAAAUCUACUCUGUGGCCUAGCAAUUUCUCUUCUAAAGAUUUAUCACCUCCCCCAAAAUCAAAAACGUCUAUCCAAAGACAUUUGUUUACAACAGCACAGUUCAUAAUGGCCUAACUUGGAAACAACUCAGAUGCCCAAUGCCAGUUGGAUGGCUAAGGAAGUUGUGAUCUGUAGACACUAUAGAAAACUAUUCUGCUAUAAGAAAUGAUGCCAUCUCCUUUGCCACAUGGAACUUGAAGGAGUCAUAGUGAGGAAAGCAAAGGAUUCUAGGGGAGAAGGAAACAAGAGGAUAGAGGGAAUAUUAGAGACUCAAUGAUGGUGGAGAAAGACAAAUUGGUGAUAACCAACUUAAAGAACCCCUUCAAAGUGAUCUCAGGAAUGUGCUGAAGACGUUGGAAAAGGGCAGCUCAAGUCUCAAGCCAUUGGUCAGAGGAAGAACUGUAAAAUCCGAGUCUUCUGUAUUUGACCAUUGUGAGAGUGAGAAAUGAACGUUUAUGGUGUUAAA